AUUGAACGCUGGCGGCAGGCCUAACACAUGCAAGUCGAGCGGAUGAAGGGAGCUUGCUCCUGGAUUCAGCGGCGGACGGGUGAGUAAUGCCUAGGAAUCUGCCUGGUAGUGGGGGAUAACGUCCGGAAACGGGCGCUAAUACCGCAUCCGUCCUGAGGGAGAAAGUGGGGGAUCUUCGGACCUCACGCUAUCAGAUGAGCCGAGGUCGGAUUAGCUAGUUGGUGGGGUAAAGGCCUACCAAGGCGACGAUCCGUAACUGGUCUGAGAGGAUGAUCAGUCACACUGGAACUGGGACACGGUCCAGACUCCUACGGGAGGCAGCAGUGGGGAAUAUUGGACAAUGGGCGAAAGCCUGAUCCAGCCAUGCCGCGUGUGUGAAGAAGGUCUUCGGAUUGUAAAGCACUUUAAGUUGGGAGGAAGGGCAGUAAGUUAAUACCUUGCUGUUUUGACGUUACCAACAGAAUAAGCACCGGCUAACUUCGUG
This 484-nucleotide ribosomal RNA is filed under the name uncultured bacterium. RNAcentral's name for it is "partial 16S ribosomal RNA". It matches the Rfam family "Bacterial small subunit ribosomal RNA", at positions 30 to 507 of the family's 1533-position model. The record is from RNAcentral.